This 21-nucleotide small nuclear RNA is filed under the name Arabidopsis thaliana (thale cress). Its description in RNAcentral is "snRNA_01746". The record is from RNAcentral. Lineage: Eukaryota; Viridiplantae; Streptophyta; Magnoliopsida; Brassicales; Brassicaceae.
ACAAGGAUUCCCUUAGUAACG